UCUAGGGCACUUAAUAACUUCUAGGGUUUUUUCCGUUUUUAUACCAUUUUGCUUUUAGACCAAGGGAAUGCAUUUUUAAAAAAAAUUUAUUCAGCCUUAAUUGCUCUCAGGUAAAGUAGGUAAUGGUCUCAAGUAAUGUGCGUUACUCCCAAGUCCCAACUCCCAAAUAAUCCAGUUCGCAGUUCCGGAGUUCCCUUGGGAAAACAAAAUUUUUUUGGCCAUCUUCGUCAAUCGGUCAAUGACAACGACUACGGUGGAAUCCGGUGUUAUUUACUAUAUUUUACGAUUUUUCAGGGUUUUCUAAAUUUAAAAUAUUGUUUUUUUUCUGGACUGUUUAUGAAUGAUCAGAGUCAGAAAACUAGGUUCUAUGACUGGAAUGAUGAAAUUUGUAAAUCUAAGUUUUUUGGGCUUUGAUCUUUGCAACGUUGCAGUCAUCCCCAUCCUUUCAAAAUGGAAGUAGUGCCCUCUAAACACCGCGUUUAUUGAGAACGAGAGACGCAAGCAUGCAAGCCUCGUGUUUCGUGGUUUAUUUGCGGUUGCAAAAUGAAGUGAAGGAACAAAACUGCCAUGCUUCUCAUUUUUGCUCGUGCACAGGCUCUGUUCUAUGUUUGCGAAAAUUCCAAGUUUCACUUAAGGGAAAAUGAGCUUCAAAAGAACCCAACCAGUGCACCAUUGACGACAGCCAUCUGGAGCAUGAGGAUAUCUUCUUCUGGAUACUUCUCAAAAUCAUUUGCUCUUCAAAUUAAAAAAAUCUGAUGAGAUUUAUCAGGUUUCUGGUAACAAAGUCAAGUUUCUGCUCCCAUUGUGUGGCAGUGCAUAACAUAGAUUUUUCUGUGCAAGCGAACUGUGAUCCUCAAGUCCAAAUUCAGGAAACUUGGUCUUCGCCAAUAUGCGACUAUUAGCUUGCAUGACGUCUCCCCUCUAUUUUCACCUCUUCGCUUCCUGAUUUGCUCGGAAAACACACGGAAAAUGUCCUUGGCAAUUACAAAUAAGGUAGGUCUCAUUUGCCUUAUUCGGUUAUUGUUUAUUAUCUUCUUCCAUACGUGUGGUAGCAAUUAGAGCCAUGUCCAUCAGUAUAUCGGCAGACUGAUAAUUCCGAGAGUGUGGGUAUAAAAUACGGUACCAAUAGUAUUUACUUCAAUUAUGAUGCGUCGUACCCGCUAGACGGCCCCUUUCUGUUUCUGAUGGGCACGUUUUACCGAAAGAAUUGCCCUGGCCUAUUGAAUCGAUUGCGUUCUCAGUAGACAUUUUAAAAAAUCAUCGCGUCUGUUUGGUCUCAACGAUUUGCCAUGUAAUUUUUUCGCCACCAACCAUCCCUUUUAAUUACGCCACUUUCAAUUACUUCCAACAGAGGACCCAACCUUAAUCGAGCGUUCAUUUUAUGGCUUGUUUAUUGGUCACUGUAGUUCGUUUGCGUGGGUAGCUAUGAACAUUCAAAAACUCGACCUCCUAAAGCAAUAACUCAAUGGCAUGCGUUAAACCCAUUAUCGAUAAAGUGACUUCUUGCAAUGCAAAAGUUUUUGCCGUACUUGUUGUGUUAAUUGUUUUGUUCUUUCAAUAUCCUGUAAAAGAGCUGUCUUUCAAACAAUUAAUUUAAAAUGCUUCAGAAAAUAACUUGUCACUUCUAUGAUUUAUCACUUGGCGUAAUUGGGAUCUGACUUUUAAGAAAUACUACGUCUUUGUGGUUGUUGAGUUUAUACUGAACAUUUUUUAGUCUGAAUGUCAUUAUUCGCAUAACGAUCAAAGGCGAUGUGUAGUGAACUCUAUUCAUUACAUUAUCGCUGUUUUUUUCUUAUCUGCUUUAUCAUUGGCGGUUUCACGUUCUCUGUGACAUUUUAAAAUAGUUUCUUCUAAAUUCCCCAAUUGUCGAGAAAGAAUUACCAGGCCGACCUGGGUUAAGUGUUGCUUGAAAAACUGCGUUCAAUUUACUUCGCUUGCCUAUUGUUCAUCGGUUUCGUGAAUUACUUUUUGUGUUACUCGAGUAUUUUUUUUUUUUCUAUUUGCUGUUGUCGACGAGGUGAUUCGUAUGGUGGUUCCCUUGACAAGGGAAUUGCUUCUUUGCGUGUCAGCCAACAUUGAUCCUUAAGUACUUUUAUGAGCAGCAAACCUUUCCUUCAUAAUUAUAUUGUCGUCACUGCUCCCUCGCGCCGUGUUUUGCCUUUCACGAUACCUCGGUGUUUUAAAGGUACCACAAAUAUCAAGAAAGAAAGGCUUUCAAAUUAUUUUCAGUAUGGGUGGAACUCAGACAGUACAAUUUGUCAUUGAGGGGGUAUGCAUUCAUUUGCGUCCAAUUUGCGCUCUGUCCGACUGUUACAACCAUUCCUUUGUGUUAGUUUCAAAUGGCCAGUGAACGUUGAACUUUAAAGAGCGCAUCAGGUUUGAAAUUGUAUCUCCGUUCGUUGCGGUACACUUUGUCCGUGUAGCUAAAAAUGUUUGAAAAAUCUAAUGACGAAGCUGAGAAGGCUUACAAUUCGACAUUAAAAGAAACUUUGCAUCCUUGGUGGGUGUUGACUCGUUACUGCAGCCUCUUACCGGAUUGGUGUCAUCCGCACCACGAUCAACCUCGACCCGUACUAAACGCCAUUCGUUGCAUUGCCAUCGUUGUAUUUUCUUGUUUCGUUUUCGCAAUGAUGACGUUUCAUUUUGUCCGAAUGGCGCUCGCUAUUGUCGUAAUGACCACCAUUCAUUCGGUUAUUCCCUACCUACUUUGGUUUUCAGCCCUUCCGAUUGCCCUCACUGCUCAGCUGUAUUACAUUUCCCGUCGCCAUUAUUUUUUGCGUUUCUUCAAGGACUGGGGCAAUGCCGAAAAACAAAUUAUGAUGGCCUACUGCCACCGGGAUCUUCGCACCACAAUUAGGAAGACGCGCAUUCUAGUUUACACUUCGAAAAUUGCGAUGCUGAUUGGACUGCUUGUCGGAAUGGGUUUCGUUAUCUUUCGUUUUCCUGAUGCUCCAUAUCUCUUGUCGCAUUUUAAAGUACUUCGUGAUCUUGCACCGGUCCCUGUUUUUGCUUCGAUUCAUCUCAUCACAAUUACUUUUGCCGUCACUUUUGCAUCUUUUUGCGACGCUGUGUCGGCGUUGGUCUUUUUCCAUAUCGCGUUAGAAGCGCGAGUCCUUUUCAAAGAAUUCGACAAAAUUUUUUUGCUUUUAAAUCCUUUGAUUACCGACUCCAACCAAACAGAGAGACUUGAAUUUAAAUCAGGUUUAUUAUUUUCUACUGAAUUGCGUCGAUUGGUGGGCUACUACGAAAAUCUGAGAAGUUUUGUCAAACGAGCGAAUUCUCUGUUCGGCAUCUUGUGGUUUCUAAAUCACGGUAUGAGAUUGACCAUCAUUUGUAUCAUGCUCUAUUCUGUCCUGUACAUGUUUCAAACUAAUCCUGAAGACGCCGGAAUUUACUUUGCUAACUUAGUAACUAAUCUGUACGAGCUUGUGCUUUGCACUGUGCUAAUGGCUCAAAUUUUUCGAGCCUCUGAUCGUCUACGCUCGAGGCUCGCCGUCCUAUUGACUAAGAACUGGGACUUGAUUACGAAAGGCGAUCGAGAAAUUCUGACCGUUUUUAUUGAUCGGCUUCAAACUGACCCUUUGGCUGCUUCUCCUUUGGGUCUUUAUAAAGUCACCCCUUCAUUUUUGAUGACUAUCGUGAGUCUGACUGUGAGUUACGUCAUUAUUUUACUCCAAUCCAAGUAGAAAACAUGAUCUGCAUUUUGCCAUUGUCUUUGUACUUGAAGCUACAAAUUACUCGAUUCAAUGACGACAUUGGCGAAGUGAAAAUUUUGUUCUCCGUUCAUAUCUAGUUCUCCAUACGCUUUGAACCAACAACUGUUUGCAUCGAAUAAGUAAAAUUAAGGGCCGUGUAACGUGAAAAGAGUAUGCAGUUAUGAAUUUUCCCUUGAUUUGUUUUUCACCGAUAAAGAAUGUGUUUUUAUUUAUUAUUGGUUUUUUAAUGUAGAACUCGUGUAGUCUCACCCGCUGCUGUUUUUUUUUCUCCAAUGAUGCAUCAUCUUUUUUAGUUAAAAAUUUUGGUUAAUUCUAAAGAGCUUCAUCAUUGUCUAUUAUUGCCAGAAAGACGGUCAUCUUGUCAUUGCGACGCAUCAGUCGCGUUAAUAGUCUUUAGAAAGCUGUUCUUUAUAUUGUAGCUCCUCCAUGUCUGUUUGUCCUUACGCAGUUCAAAACCACAGGCUUCAACAGUAAAUGUCCUAAUGAGCAGCAAAAACUUGUAACAAAGUGUCGGUUCUUAUAACGUGCAUUGGUUGGUCAUCUCCAAACCGAACUAUGCUGUAAUACAAUGCGCUAGGAAUACCACCAAACGAGGAAAGCUCUACGUUUUCGUUUGCUGUAUUUUUCAGCUAAUGCACAUGUUCUUCCAAAAAUGGAACUAAUCUCGGUCCAAGGCAUUCAAUGAAUGUGAAUUUUCUUUGUAUUCGUGUUGUUUUAAAAUGUGGCGUUUGUUUCACUUCGAAAAACGCUUACGUUAACUGGUAACUCCAGUUUCUGUUUAAAUGUCCAAUGCUUUGCUUUUCGGUACAUUCAGGCAUACCACCCGGUCUCAUUGAAGAUGUAAUAAUGUCGGAUCACAAGGUUAAGUAUAUGCAGAAUCUUAAAUUUUUUAUGCCAAGAAAGAUAAUAUGCGAAAGUUAGUGCUAUUCAUCCAUCCCUUGCAGAUUUUUAUCCUCUCACUACAAAAUACCUCAUAUCUAAUUAUUUGUAUUUAUCGCAUCAGAACAAGUUCAAUGACGAGACGUUUUGGCUUGAGCUUCUGGAGACAACUCAGGAAACUAAAUUCGCCUUGUUGCCCAUAACGAAUUCUAGGUCGUCUCCCCAAGUUGAGAUCAGAUAUUGCCGAUUGGAAACAAAGCAUUACUCGACACAGAGUUUAUCUUCGUCAUCCGUGUUGCAGCGCUUCAUUUGUUCCAUACAACAGGAGUUCAAUUUCCGAGUAACUACCGCGUUGUUACAUGCAAUUAGUAAGGUCAAUUUAAAAUUUUCCCCUUGAAACACAACCUUUUUUUAUUCGAAUCGUCUUGGACAAGUAUCAAACACAGCUAAGAUGUGUCACUAAUAUGGUGCAUUUUGGAGGUCCAAAAUUGUGUUGGAAUUUUAUGUAUCACUGAUUCCUCCGUUCUGAAUGAAAGACACCUUAUCCCCGUCGAUUAGUUGCGUUUAAUGUAUUACCAUUGAUUGCCAUUUCAGCAUCAAUUACCAAGUUGAAAAAUGUUCAAUACAGGUUGAACCAUUGUUGGAUUCCAAAGCCAUCUUGCAUAACACAAUUUUCCCCUCAGUUCUAUGCAUCUCUUUUCGUAUGCUGGCAGAAUAAUGAAAACACUUUCUUAUUUA
This is an RNA transcript of Daphnia magna, 5333 nucleotides long. RefSeq lists it as uncharacterized. The record is from RefSeq and is a predicted model, not a curated record. Lineage: Eukaryota; Metazoa; Arthropoda; Branchiopoda; Diplostraca; Daphniidae. The transcript has 8 exons.